RNAcentral lists this ribosomal RNA (466 nucleotides) under uncultured bacterium. RNAcentral describes it as "partial 16S ribosomal RNA". It matches the Rfam family "Bacterial small subunit ribosomal RNA", at positions 28 to 507 of the family's 1533-position model. The record is from RNAcentral.
GACGAACGCUGGCGGCGUGCUUAACACAUGCAAGUCGAACGGGAAGGCUCCAGCUUGCUGGGGUACACGAGUGGCGAACGGGUGAGUAACACGUGGGUGACCUGCCCUGCACUUCGGGAUAAGCCUGGGAAACUGGGUCUAAUACCGGAUAGGACCAUGAAGUGGAUACUGUGGUGGAAAGUUUUUUCGGUGUGGGAUGGGCCCGCGGCCUAUCAGCUUGUUGGGGGGGUAAUGGCGUACCAAGGCGGCGACGGGUAGCCGGCCUGAGAGGGUGUACGGCCACAUUGGGACUGAGAAACGGCCCAGACUCCUACGGGAGGCAGCAGUGGGGAAUAUUGCACAAUGGGCGGAAGCCUGAUGCAGCGACGCCGCGUGGGGGAUGACGGCCUUCGGGUUGUAAACUCCUUUCACCAUCGACGAAGGGUUUCUGACGGUAGAUGGAGAAGAAGCACCGGCUAACUACGUG